RNAcentral lists this ribosomal RNA (252 nucleotides) under uncultured bacterium. RNAcentral's name for it is "partial 16S ribosomal RNA". It matches the Rfam family "Bacterial small subunit ribosomal RNA", at positions 524 to 776 of the family's 1533-position model. The record is from RNAcentral.
UACAGAGGGUGCGAGCGUUAAUCGGAGUUACUGGGCGUAAAGGGCGCGUAGGUUGUUUGUAGAGUGAAUUGUGAAAUAACUGGGCUUAACCUGGUAUAGCAGUUCAAACGUACAGACUAGAGGACAGUAGAGGGUAGAGGAAUUUCCGGUGUAGCGGUGAAAUGCGUAGAUAUCGGAAGGAACAUCAUUGGCGAAGGCGUCUACCUGGACUGUAACUGACACUGAGGCGCGAAAGCGUGGGUAGCGAACAGG